UGACCUUUUCCUCAGAGGUGACUCUUUUCC
This 30-nucleotide non-coding RNA is filed under the name Rattus norvegicus (Norway rat). The record is from RNAcentral. Lineage: Eukaryota; Metazoa; Chordata; Mammalia; Rodentia; Muridae.